GACGAACCGUGCGAACGUUAUUCGGAAUCACUGGGCUUAAAGCGCGUGUAGGCGGGCCGCCGCGUCGGCUGCUGAAAUCCCCCGGCUCAACCGGGGAACGGGCACCGAUACGGGCGGCCUCGAGGGGGGUAGGGGGACCUGGAACUUCCGGUGGAGCGGUGAAAUGCGUUGAGAUCGGAAGGAACGCCCGUGGCGAAAGCGAGGCCCUGGACCCUUACUGACGCUGAGACGCGAAAGCCAGGGGAGCGAACGGG
This 254-nucleotide ribosomal RNA is filed under the name uncultured bacterium. RNAcentral describes it as "partial 16S ribosomal RNA". It matches the Rfam family "Bacterial small subunit ribosomal RNA", at positions 524 to 776 of the family's 1533-position model. The record is from RNAcentral.